ACACGCGUGUCUUGGCCAACUACGUCUCCCGCUUUUUGCAAAAAAAAAAAAAUACGCUAACUUUUUAUUACGACUUGAUAACUUUAAGUUUGCGAGAACAGAUAAUGUAGCCAACGAAAAAAUAUUUUACUGAUACCUUUAUGGCAUUAUAUUUCAAAAAAUGUGAUAAUACUCGAAUUCUCUGGGCAGGCUUUUGAUACUUUUUGGUGUUCCAGAGCUAUUAUCUUGAAGAAUGAAGUUGACAAUAUACGUACAUCUCAGUGAAGUAAAUUUUAGUAAUCAUAAUAUUAUGAUACGAGUAUUACUGACCGAGAACAAAAAAAUAUCUCAUAAGCAAAAAUACUGUUUUCUCCACAGCACAAAAAAAAAGUUAUCUUGAGUCAAAAAAAUAUUUUAGAAGUUUUUUCGGGAACCAUGUCAAGAUUUUCUUGAACCAAUAAGAGAUAGUCCAUUUUUUAAAUUUUAACACCAAGCGCAAAUCCACCUAUUGAUCGAGGUGUUGUAUUCGAAUGAUGUUUUUGUAUGUUAAAAGUGUGUAAAGUGUAUAAUAAAACUUUUUUAAAUGUA
Long non-coding RNA from Microplitis demolitor, 567 nucleotides. RefSeq lists it as uncharacterized. Lineage: Eukaryota; Metazoa; Arthropoda; Insecta; Hymenoptera; Braconidae. The record is from RefSeq and is a predicted model, not a curated record. The transcript is spliced from 3 exons.